RNAcentral lists this unclassified non-coding RNA (814 nucleotides) under Arabidopsis thaliana (thale cress). Its description in RNAcentral is "3' external transcribed spacer". Lineage: Eukaryota; Viridiplantae; Streptophyta; Magnoliopsida; Brassicales; Brassicaceae. The record is from RNAcentral.
CCCUCCCCUAAAUCACUCCAAAAAAAACAAUCCCCAAUUCUACACAAGUGUUUCUACACUAACAAAGCAACAGCUCCUUAACGAAUUCCCAACUUUACACGAGCUCGUCUCUCGAGGUUAAAUGUUAUUACUUGGUAAGAUUCCGGACCUCGCCAAGUGUUUUGAAAACCCGCAACGCUCGCAAAGGUGGAUAGUGAGAAUAAUAAGUGAAGAGACAGACUUGUCCAAAACGCCCACCACGAAGGUGCAUAGUGAGAAGAGUAAGUCAAGAGAUAGACUUGUCCAAAAAGAAACGGAAGAGAAAGCGUGGGGAGACGCUCACGAAGGUGCAUAGUGAGAAGAGUAAGUCAAGAGACAGACUUGUUCGAAAAGAAACAGAAGAGAAUGCUUGGGGUUACACUCACGAAGGUGCAUAGUGAGAAGAGUAAGUCAAGAGACAGACUUGUUCGAAAAGAAACAAAAGAGAAUGCUUGGGGAGAUAGAAGUGUGAGAUAGUUCUCAAGCUAAGAAAGUUGUAAAAGCUAAGAACUAGCAAGUAAUCGUCCAGGAUUCCUCCACCAGGACUUGAAAUCGUCGAGGGAAAAAAAUCGGUUCCGAGGAAUCGUCGAUCCGGACUUGGAAUCGUCGAGAAAAGUUUACCGGGUCCGAGGAUUUGUCGACCAGGAGUGGAAAUCGUCGAGAAAAAUCUAUCGGGUCCGAGGAAUCGUCGACCAGGACGAGGAAUCGUCGACCGGGUCCGAGGAUUUGUCGACCAGGGGUUGAAAUCGUCGACCAGGUCCGAGACUUCAUCGACCGGGUCCGAGGAUUCGUCGAC